Molecule: ribosomal RNA, 490 nt
Filed under: Bifidobacterium dentium
Lineage: Bacteria; Bacillati; Actinomycetota; Actinomycetes; Bifidobacteriales; Bifidobacteriaceae
Description: bacterial SSU rRNA
Rfam family: Bacterial small subunit ribosomal RNA
Source: RNAcentral
GUGGUAAUGCCGGAUGCUCCGGUUGGAUGCAUGUCCUUCCGGGAAAGGUUCCAUCGGUAUGGGAUGGGGUCGCGUCCUAUCAGCUUGAUGGCGGGGUAACGGCCCACCAUGGCUUCGACGGGUAGCCGGCCUGAGAGGGCGACCGGCCACAUUGGGACUGAGAUACGGCCCAGACUCCUACGGGAGGCAGCAGUGGGGAAUAUUGCACAAUGGGCGCAAGCCUGAUGCAGCGACGCCGCGUGCGGGAUGGAGGCCUUCGGGUUGUAAACCGCUUUUGAUCGGGAGCAAGCCCUUCGGGGUGAGUGUACCUUUCGAAUAAGCACCGGCUAACUACGUGCCAGCAGCCGCGGUAAUACGUAGGGUGCAAGCGUUAUCCGGAAUUAUUGGGCGUAAAGGGCUCGUAGGCGGUUCGUCGCGUCCGGUGUGAAAGCCCAUCGCUUAACGGUGGGUCUGCGCCGGGUACGGGCGGGCUGGAGUGCGGUAGGGGAGA